AGAGUUUGAUCCUGGCUCAGGGUGAACGCUGGCGAUGUGCCUAAGACAUGCAAGUCGAGCGGGACUUGUGUUUCACACUUAGAAUUUAAUCUUUAAAUUAAGCUUUGAGUGUGAAAUAUAAGUUUAGCGGCGAACGGGUGAGUAAUAAGUACAAACAUGCCCCUUUGUAGGACAUAGUCCGCCGAAAGGCGGGGUAAUUUCCUAUAGUAUCUUCGGAUUAAAGACGCAAGUCGCGAAGGGAUUGGUGUACUCGCUACCAGCUUGUUGGUGAGGUAAUGGCUCACCAAGGCUAUGACGGCUACCGGCUCUUAGCGGAGAGUCCGGCACAAUGGGACUGAGACACGGCCCAUACUUCUACGGAAGGCAGCAGUUAGGAAUUUUGCGCAAUGGACGAAAGUCUGACGCAGCGACAUCGCGUGUGGGAUGACAGCCUUAGGGUUGUAAACCACUUUUUGAGAGCCAUGAAGGCGCCCAGAAUAAAGAACUACUAACUACGUGCCAGCAGUCGCGGUAAUACGUAGGUUCCGAGCGUUACCCGGUUUAUUGGCGUAAAGGGUCCGUAGUGUUUCUAAGUUUGUUUCAAAGUCCCCGACUUAAUCGGGGAAGGGGCAGGAUACUGGAAGACUAGAGUCAUAUCGGGGUUACUGGAAUUUGUGGUGUAGGGGUAAAAUCCGUGGAUACCACAAAGAACACCAAGCGCGAAGGCGGGUAACCAGGUAUGUACUGACACUCAGGGACGAAAGCUAGGGUAGCCAAUCAGAUUAGAGACCUGAGUAGUCCUAGCCGUAAACAUUGUCUGUUAAUUUUCCCCUUUUUUAGGGGGAGAUGCUAGCUAACGCGUUAAACAGACCGCCUGGGGAGUAUAGCCGCAAGGCCGAAACUCAAACGAAUUGGCGGGGAGGCGCACAACCAGUGGAGCAUGUGGUUCAAUUCGAUACGAAGCGAUGAACCUUACCUGGGUUUGAAAUGUAUCUGCAAGCUUUAUGAAAGUAAAGCCGCCUUCGAGGGUGAUACACAGCUGUUGCAUGGCUGUCGUCAGCUCGUGACGUGAGUUGUUCUCUUAAGUGAGGUAACGAGCGCAACCCCUAUCGUAUGUUACUGUGUCAUACGAGACUGCCCAGCAUUAUUUUGUUGGGAGGAAGGAGGGGACGACGUCAAGUCAUCAUGAUGCUUAUAUCCAGGGCUACACACAUCCUACAAUGGGUUGUACAGAGGGUUGCAAGACCGCAAGGUGGAGCUAAUCCCUAGAACAUCCCUCAGUUGGGAUUGCAGGCUGAAAUUCGCCUGCAUGAACCCGGAAUUGGUAGUAAUCGCAAAUCAGCAGAUUGCGGUGAAUACGUUCUCGCCUCUUGCACACACUGCCCGUCAAAUCAGCAAAGUUGAGGGUACCCGAAGGCUCUGAUUCGUCAUGGACUAAGGUAAAUUCAGCGAUGAGGGUUAAGUCGUAACAAGGUAAC
Molecule: ribosomal RNA, 1457 nt
Filed under: uncultured bacterium
Lineage: Bacteria
Description: bacterial SSU rRNA
Rfam family: Bacterial small subunit ribosomal RNA
Source: RNAcentral